GGUAAAAUGGCUGAAAAUAGGCAAUAAAUUGUAAAUUUAUUUAUGAAAGUAAUUUCUUUUAUCA
RNAcentral lists this transfer RNA (64 nucleotides) under Kyklioacalles sp. BMNH 1043787. RNAcentral's name for it is "tRNA-Tyr". The record is from RNAcentral. Lineage: Eukaryota; Metazoa; Arthropoda; Insecta; Coleoptera; Curculionidae.